This 1346-nucleotide ribosomal RNA is filed under the name uncultured bacterium. Its description in RNAcentral is "partial 16S ribosomal RNA". It matches the Rfam family "Bacterial small subunit ribosomal RNA", at positions 28 to 1381 of the family's 1533-position model. The record is from RNAcentral.
GACGAACGUUGGCGGCGUGCUUAACACAUGCAAGUCGAACGGAAAGGCCCUGCUUUUGUGGGGUGCUCGAGUGGCGAACGGGUGAGUAACACGUGAGUAACCUGCCCUUGACUUUGGGAUAACUUCAGGAAACUGGGGCUAAUACCGGAUAGGAGCUCCUGCUGCAUGGUGGGGGUUGGAAAGUUUCGGCGGUUGGGGAUGGACUCGCGGCUUAUCAGCUUGUUGGUGGGGUAGUGGCUUACCAAGGCUUUGACGGGUAGCCGGCCUGAGAGGGUGACCGGCCACAUUGGGACUGAGAUACGGCCCAGACUCCUACGGGAGGCAGCAGUGGGGAAUAUUGCACAAUGGGCGGAAGCCUGAUGCAGCAACGCCGCGUGCGGGAUGACGGCCUUCGGGUUGUAAACCGCUUUCGCCUGUGACGAAGCGUGAGUGACGGUAAUGGGUAAAGAAGCACCGGCUAACUACGUGCCAGCAGCCGCGGUGAUACGUAGGGUGCGAGCGUUGUCCGGAUUUAUUGGGCGUAAAGGGCUCGUAGGUGGUUGAUCGCGUCGGAAGUGUAAUCUUGGGGCUUAACCCUGAGCGUGCUUUCGAUACGGGUUGACUUGAGGAAGGUAGGGGAGAAUGGAAUUCCUGGUGGAGCGGUGGAAUGCGCAGAUAUCAGGAGGAACACCAGUGGCGAAGGCGGUUCUCUGGGCCUUUCCUGACGCUGAGGAGCGAAAGCGUGGGGAGCGAACAGGCUUAGAUACCCUGGUAGUCCACGCUGUAAACGGUGGGUACUAGGUGUGGGGUCCAUUCCACGGGUUCCGUGCCGUAGCUAACGCUUUAAGUACCCCGCCUGGGGAGUACGGCCGCAAGGCUAAAACUCAAAGGAAUUGACGGGGCCCCGCACAAGCGGCGGAGCAUGCGGAUUAAUUCGAUGCAACGCGUAGAACCUUACCUGGGUUUGACAUGGAUCGGGAGUGCUCAGAGAUGGGUGUGCCUCUUUUGGGGUCGGUUCACAGGUGGUGCAUGGCUGUCGUCAGCUCGUGUCGUGAGAUGUUGGGUUAAGUCCCGCAACGAGCGCAACCCUUGUUCACUGUUGCCAGCACGUUAUGGUGGGGACUCAGUGGAGACCGCCGGGGUCAACUCGGAGGAAGGUGGGGAUGACGUCAAGUCAUCAUGCCCCUUAUGUCCAGGGCUUCACGCAUGCUACAAUGGCUGGUACAGAGAGUGGCGAGCCUGUGAGGGUGAGCGAAUCUCGGAAAGCCGGUCUCAGUUCGGAUUGGGGUCUGCAACUCGACCUCAUGAAGUCGGAGUCGCUAGUAAUCGCAGAUCAGCAACGCUGCGGUGGAUACGUUCCCGGGGCU